This 77-nucleotide non-coding RNA is filed under the name Trypanosoma brucei brucei TREU927. Lineage: Eukaryota; Euglenozoa; Kinetoplastea; Trypanosomatida; Trypanosomatidae. The record is from RNAcentral.
CCCCGGCGAUGCCGGCCACCUCAACGUGGUGCCAGGGUCCAGUACCCCGUAUCAUCGGGGGAAGCCAAGAGUCAGCA